This 501-nucleotide ribosomal RNA is filed under the name uncultured bacterium. RNAcentral describes it as "bacterial SSU rRNA". It matches the Rfam family "Bacterial small subunit ribosomal RNA", at positions 8 to 526 of the family's 1533-position model. The record is from RNAcentral.
AGAGUUUGAUCAUGGCUCAGAAUGAACGUUGGCGGCGUGGAUUAGGCAUGCAAGUCGUACGCUUUAUGUAGCAAUACAUGAAGAGUGGCGUAAGGGAGAGUAAUGCAUGGUUAGCUACCCUGGGGACUGGGAUAGCGGCGGGAAACUGCCGGUAAUACCAGAUGACAUCUUCGGAUCAAACGUGUGAAUCGGCCCUAGGAGGUGACCAUGUCCUAUCAGCUAGUUGGCGGUGUAACGGACCACCAAGGCUAAGACGGGUAUGGGGCGUGAGAGCGUGCCCCCACUCACUGGGACUGAGACACUGCCCAGACACCUACGGGUGGCUGCAGUCGAGAAUCUUCGGCAAUGGGCGCAAGCCUGACCGAGCGACGCCGCGUGCGGGAUGAAGGCCUUCGGGUUGUAAACCGCUGUCGUAGGGGAGGAAGGUCUGGUGUAUAGCCAGGCUUGACCGAUCCUAGGAGGAAGGGCCGGCUAAUCUCGUGCCAGCAGCCGCGGUAAUAC